CAAAGGAAUUGACGGGACCCGCACAAGCGGUGGAUGAUGUGGAUUAAUUCGAUGCAACGCGAAAACCUUACCUACCCUUGACAUGUCCGGAAUCCUGAAGAGAUUUGGGAGUGCUCGAAAGAGAACCGGAACACAGGUGCUGCAUGGCUGUCGUCAGCUCGUGUCGUGAGAUGUUGGGUUAAGUCCCGCAACGAGCGCAACCCUUGUCAUUAGUUGCCAUCAUUUAGUUGGGCACUCUAAUGAGACUGCCGGUGACAAACCGGAGGAAGGUGGGGAUGACGUCAAGUCCUCAUGGCCCUUAUGUCCAGGGCUACACACGUGCUACAAUGGCCGGUACAAAGGGGCGCAAGACCGCGAGGUGGAGCAAAUCCCAAAAAACCGGUCUCAGUUCGGAUUGGAGUCUGCAACUCGGCUCCAUGAAGUUGGAAUCGCUAGUAAUCGCGUAUCAGCAUGACGCGGUGAAUACGUUCCCGGGCCUU
RNAcentral lists this ribosomal RNA (479 nucleotides) under uncultured Rhodocyclaceae bacterium. RNAcentral's name for it is "bacterial SSU rRNA". It matches the Rfam family "Bacterial small subunit ribosomal RNA", at positions 902 to 1382 of the family's 1533-position model. The record is from RNAcentral. Lineage: Bacteria; Pseudomonadati; Pseudomonadota; Betaproteobacteria; Rhodocyclales; Rhodocyclaceae.